RNAcentral lists this ribosomal RNA (206 nucleotides) under uncultured bacterium. RNAcentral's name for it is "partial 16S ribosomal RNA". It matches the Rfam family "Bacterial small subunit ribosomal RNA", at positions 568 to 774 of the family's 1533-position model. The record is from RNAcentral.
CACGUAGGCGGAUAUUUAAGUCAGGGGUGAAAUCCCAGAGCUCAACUCUGGAACUGCCUUUGAUACUGGGUAUCUUGAUAUGGAAGAGGUAAGUGGAAUUCCGAGUGUAGAGGUGAAAUUCGUAGAUAUUCGGAGGAACACCAGUGGCGAAGGCGGCUUACUGGUCCAUUACUGACGCUGAGGUGCGAAAGCGUGGGGAGCAAACA